This 347-nucleotide ribosomal RNA is filed under the name Foraminifera environmental sample. Its description in RNAcentral is "partial small subunit ribosomal RNA". Lineage: Eukaryota; Foraminifera. The record is from RNAcentral.
CGGUCACGUUCGUUGCAAUGGAUCUUUUUAUGCAGCACCAAUAAAGACAAGCAGCACAAAGAAGUUGAAAAAGAAAAGAAAGUGGCGUCACUUAUCAGCACAUACACUUCAAACGUCCCUGUGUGAAACGCAAUUAAGCAGACAGAUCACUCCACGAACUAAGAACGGCCAUGCACCACCUAUCACACAAUCAUGAAAGGACUAGCAUCUUUAUCGCAUGAACAGCAAAAGAAACGAGAGCAAAAAAGCUCUGCCCUAUGCUGCCAUGCUAAAAACCUGUCAAUCCUCAGUGUGUCCGGACCCGGUAAGAUUUCCCGCGUUGAGUCAAAUUAAGCCACAUGCUCCAC